Molecule: long non-coding RNA, 1134 nt
Organism: Panicum virgatum (switchgrass)
Lineage: Eukaryota; Viridiplantae; Streptophyta; Magnoliopsida; Poales; Poaceae
Exons: 3
Source: RefSeq, a predicted model, not a curated record
UCUAGAAAUUUCGAUUUUUCUAUGCAAAAAAUCUCAUCCAUAUCGUCUUGUUGCUUGCAGUGCAUAGAUCUACCCAUUCUCGACCAACAUCAAGUGAAGUUCAGAUCUUUUGUCUGCCCAAAUAACUCCCUUGUUGGUGUCCCCUGGCGAAAGAGAGAGGCAGCUAGGCUGCUAACGUCAAUCUGCUGCAUGCAUCUUGGAUGCGGUUCUUUGGGUGGCAAUGGAGCUGCAGAAGCAAUGGGCCAGAGGCCUGACUCACAGGGAGGUAGGUGGUUGGGAGUAUCUUCAGCUGCACCUCAUUCUGUUCAGAUGCCAUGGUACUCAGUGAGAUUGGCUAGGCAUCAGAUGAUCAGAGCUUCAGGUUGUGAGUACUGCCUCUAAUUCGAUCCACCUACGACAUUGGGAAUGCUGCUAGGGUAUAGCAAAUUCUUAACAAAAAAAGAAUCCGGUAGGAUAUGGCAAUGGGAUUACUUUUGAUCUGGCUGCUUUACUUUUCGUUUUUUUGCUCAAACAUGAUCAUUUUGUGGCCAGGCCACUAGCUUUUAUGCCCAUGCAUGGUAUUAUUUGUGACCAGGCUACUUUAGUUUUAUUUUUCAUACAUAGUAAUAUAGUAUUAAUGUGACCAGGCCAAUCUAGUUUUUAUGUUCACAAAUGGUAUUAUCAGUGAUCAGGCUAUUCUAGUUACUGUGUUCGUAAAUAGUAUUAUUUGUGAUCUACUUUAAUUUUUGUGCUAAAAAUGAUUUAUUUGCAAUCAAUCCACUUAAGAUUUCACACUCAUGCAUGAGUUUAUUUGUGAUCAAGCCACUCUAGUUUUUGUGUUGCCACAUGGUAUUAUUUGUGAUCAAGCCAGUUAUUUUUUUGUGUUCACUUUGGAUGAUAGAGGUUCUACAUGUAGACAUGUCACUAUUUGCACUGAGGAACUUAACUUUGCUAGAUUGCAUAAAUUUUCCUAGGCAUACAUGGAAAUAUUUGUGACCAGGCUAUUUAGCCUGCAAAUAACUAAGUUUUUUAUGGUUAACAUGGGAAUAUCUAUGCAUGUUAUUAUUUUGUGGUGAAGAAACUAACUCCAUGAUAGGUUACAUAUAAAUAAAUUUUCUAUUGACGCUUAACAUUAUUUAUGAUAAUGCUAACAUG